RNAcentral lists this ribosomal RNA (327 nucleotides) under Triticum aestivum (bread wheat). Its description in RNAcentral is "partial small subunit ribosomal RNA". Lineage: Eukaryota; Viridiplantae; Streptophyta; Magnoliopsida; Poales; Poaceae. The record is from RNAcentral.
AUGGACGUCUUGCCUUUGCCAAAGAGACCUACCAGGGACUGGUCGGAGCUGCCUUUUGACACCCUCUAUUCAAUUUUUGCCAAUCUAGGGGUCGUUGAUCUUCUUAUGGGUGCGGGCCUUGUUUGCCACUCAUGGCUGAAGGUGGCCAAGGAGCCUGAUCUAUGGCGAAUCGUGCACAUGCAGCACCACGAGAUCGUCGGCAUGGACACAAAUGAUUUGCGGGCAAUGUUGAACGUGGAUAUUGACCGUUCUGAUGGGCGGAUGGAGGUGUUUGUGGGAGAGUAUUUUCUUACUGAUAAGCUCCUCAAGUACACAGCGGACAGGUAA